UAUGUGAUCGUCUCUCGCAUAUCAAUAAGCGGAGGAAAAGAAACUAACAAGGAUUCCCCUAGUGACGGCGAGUGAAGCGGGAAGAGCUCAAAUUUGAAAUCUUAAAGGGUUUCCCUUUACGAAUUGUAGUUUAAAGAAGUGUUUUCUGUUGAGGUUUUGGUAAAAGUUCUUUGGAAUAGGACAUCAUAGAGGGUGAGAAUCCCGUAUUUGACCUUUACUUUCAACUUUGUGAUACACUUUCAAAGAGUCGGAUUGUUUGGGAAUGCAGUCCAAAAUGGGUGGUAAAUUUCAUCUAAAGCUAAAUAUUGGCGAGAGACCGAUAGCGAACAAGUACCGUGAGGGAAAGAUGAAAAGAACUUUGAAAAGAGAGUUAAACAGUACGUGAAAUUGUCAAAAGGGAAGCGUUUGACACCAGUGUUGUUUUUCUGAAAAUCAAUUAAAGAACUGUUUAUGCUAAGUUGUUUAGACUUUAUCAGCUAUACUGUUUAGUUUUGAGCUUUUCUUUAAUGCACUUUUCAGUUAACAAGUCAACAUCAAUUUCUUUUGCUGUAAAAAAGCUUGAGGAAGGUGGCUUGAGAUUCGUCUUAAGUGUUUAUAGCCUCUUGCCUAUGCAGUCGGAGAGAUUGAGGUCUGCAGCGUAGAUCCUUCGGGGCUAAAUGCAUUUGUGCUAAGUUAUAGCAUUUUAUAGACAACUUGUUGACUAUGAUUUGUCUUGUAGCUUACUCGCUUAUGUUAUUUUACCUACGCUUAGGAUGUUGAAGAUAUGCGCGACAC
This 774-nucleotide ribosomal RNA is filed under the name uncultured Neocallimastigales. RNAcentral describes it as "partial large subunit ribosomal RNA". It matches the Rfam family "Eukaryotic large subunit ribosomal RNA", at positions 24 to 643 of the family's 3401-position model. The record is from RNAcentral. Lineage: Eukaryota; Fungi; Neocallimastigomycota; Neocallimastigomycetes; Neocallimastigales.